Humulus lupulus (European hop) is the source of this 107-nucleotide small nucleolar RNA. NCBI's taxonomy places the organism in Eukaryota, Viridiplantae, Streptophyta, Magnoliopsida, Rosales, Cannabaceae. The record is from RefSeq and is a predicted model, not a curated record.
AUAUCGUGAUGAGGAAAUUUUCUCAACAACUCCUUAAACCUUUCCUAAGAGUCAUAUAAAUAUUCCCCAUCUAACUGAUAGAAGUUAUUAAUCUCUCCCCUCAAUUU